This 273-nucleotide ribosomal RNA is filed under the name uncultured bacterium. Its description in RNAcentral is "partial 16S ribosomal RNA". It matches the Rfam family "Archaeal small subunit ribosomal RNA", at positions 474 to 747 of the family's 1478-position model. The record is from RNAcentral.
UACCAGCACCCCGAGUGGUCGGGACGAUUAUUGGGCCUAAAGCAUCCGUAGCCGGUUCUACAAGUCUUCCGUUAAAUCCACCUGCUUAACAGUUGGGCUGCAGAGGAUACUAUAGAGCUAGGAGGCGGGGGAGGCAAGCGGUACUUAGUGGGUAGGGGUAAAAUCCGUUGAUCCACUGAAGACCACCAGUGGCGAAGGCGGCUUGCCAGAACGCGCUCGACGGUGAGGGAUGAAAGCUGGGGGAGCAAACCGGAUUAGAAACCCCAGUAGCCC